Molecule: ribosomal RNA, 282 nt
Filed under: uncultured bacterium
Lineage: Bacteria
Description: partial 16S ribosomal RNA
Rfam family: Bacterial small subunit ribosomal RNA
Source: RNAcentral
AUAGACCUACGGGGGGCAGCAGUGAGGAAUAUUGGUCAAUGGGCGGAAGCCUGAACCAGCCAAGUCGCGUGAGGGAAGAAGGCCCUGCGGGUCGCAGACCUCUUUGGACGGGGAGCAAGGCCGCCGACGUGUCGGCGGAAGGAGAGUACCCGUAGAACAAGCAUCGGCUAACUCCGUGCCAGCAGCCGCGGUAAUACGGAGGAUGCGAGCGUUAUCCGGAUUUAUUGGGUUUAAAGGGUGCGCAGGCGGCACGGCAAGCCGGCGGGCAAAGCGCGGGGGUAA